Molecule: ribosomal RNA, 119 nt
Filed under: Helianthus annuus (common sunflower)
Lineage: Eukaryota; Viridiplantae; Streptophyta; Magnoliopsida; Asterales; Asteraceae
Source: RNAcentral
GGUUGCGAUCAUACCAGCACUAAUUCCCCAGAUCCCAUCAGGACUCCGUAGUUAAGCGUGCUUGGGUGAGAGUAGUACUAGGAUGGGUGACCCCCUGGGAAGUCCUCGUGUUGCAACUC